This 166-nucleotide unclassified non-coding RNA is filed under the name soil metagenome. RNAcentral's name for it is "partial internal transcribed spacer 1". The record is from RNAcentral.
CAACAUAUGAAGGUGGGUGUAGGCAACAGUUACUCUGCUGAAUCUCUUUCACCCAUGUCUUUUGAGUACCUUUCGUUUCCUCGGGCGGGUCCGCUCGCCACAUUGGACCCACAUUAAACCAUUUGCUGUUUUGCAAUCAGCGUCAGUACAAUAACUUGAAUUAUUA